Long non-coding RNA from Lynx canadensis (Canada lynx), 515 nucleotides. RefSeq lists it as uncharacterized. The transcript is spliced from 3 exons. The record is from RefSeq and is a predicted model, not a curated record. NCBI's taxonomy places the organism in Eukaryota, Metazoa, Chordata, Mammalia, Carnivora, Felidae.
UUAGACUCGGGGCUGACCACCCCAACUCUGCACCUUAGGUCCUCCUUAUCUGUGCAAUGGGAGCGGUCGUUCCUGCCUCACUGCGUUGUGGCGUUAUUUAAAGGGGCUUUCGAAGGGAUCGAAAGUAAAAAGCCAGCAUAGGAACUUCAAUAUGCUUUUAAAAUACUUUGGAUACUUAUCGAGCGCCUACUAGAUGCGCCGCCCUAGCGCAGAAGGCUGGAAUGGGCUGAAAGGGGAAAACGAAACGUCACCCACAGUUUAGGUCUUCCUGGGCAUCUGCGCGGGACACCCUGAAGCUAAGUUUCAGUUCGGGUCCAGAGGUCUGAGAACCAGGAGAGCUGAUUGCGUUGUUCCCAACCAAAGACUGGUAGCCUCAAGACUCAGGAAGUGCUGAUGCCUCGAUUCGAAUACAAAGGCAGAAGAGAAGCUGAUCCCUCAGUGUGAAGGCAAUCAGGCAAGUGUAGUUUCCCUCUUAUUCAGCAUUUUUGUUUUAUUCAGGUCUUCAACUGAUUGGA